RNAcentral lists this unclassified non-coding RNA (348 nucleotides) under soil metagenome. RNAcentral's name for it is "partial contains 5.8S ribosomal RNA, internal transcribed spacer 2, and large subunit ribosomal RNA". The stretch from base 1 to 120 matches the Rfam family "5.8S ribosomal RNA", at positions 35 to 154 of the family's 154-position model. The record is from RNAcentral.
GAUGAAGAACGUAGCGAAAUGCGAUAAGUAAUGUGAAUUGCAGAAUUCAGUGAAUCAUCGAAUCUUUGAACGCACAUUGCGCCCGGCAGUAAUCUGCCGGGCAUGCCUGUCCGAGCGUCAUUUCACCCCUCGAGCCGCUUUUAGUGGAUCGGUGUUGGGGCACUACGGUAAAACGUAGGCCCUGAAAUGAAGUGGCGGUCCCGCCGCGGUGCCCCCAUGCGUAGUAACGUUUAGUCUCGCAUCGGGUCCCGGCGGAGGCCUGCCGUCAAGCCUAUUUAUUCUCAGAAUAGUUUGACCUCGGAUCAGGUAGGGUUACCCGCUGAACUUAAGCAUAUCAAUAAGCGGAGA